UACGUAGGGGGCAAGCGCUAUCCGGAUUUACUGGGUGUAAAGGGAGCGUAGACGGCUGUGCAAGUCUGAAGUGAAAGGCAUGGGCUCAACCUGUGGACUGCUUUGGAAACUGUGCAGCUAGAGUGUCGGAGAGGUAAGUGGAAUUCCUAGUGUAGCGGUGAAAUGCGUAGAUAUUAGGAGGAACACCAGUGGCGAAGGCGGCUUACUGGACGAUGACUGACGUUGAGGCUCGAAAGCGUGGGGAGCAAACAGG
This 253-nucleotide ribosomal RNA is filed under the name Dorea formicigenerans. RNAcentral describes it as "partial 16S ribosomal RNA". It matches the Rfam family "Bacterial small subunit ribosomal RNA", at positions 524 to 776 of the family's 1533-position model. Lineage: Bacteria; Bacillati; Bacillota; Clostridia; Lachnospirales; Lachnospiraceae. The record is from RNAcentral.